CCCUCUGCUUCAUUAUUUUCUCCUGAUCAACAGGCUUAUUAUCUGAUUACCAGCUCUGCACAGCGGACUUGUAACACUAGCAGCAGUGGAGAUGGAGCAGCAUCAGAACCUGGUGGCUUCUACUCUUCUGAAGAAGAAGAAUACAGCAACAAGGAUCCAUUUGAAGAUAGAUUUCACAGCUGCCUGGGCCUAGCAGCAACAAGAACCUCCAUUUGUCCCUGCCCCCAGGUCAAGAUCUACCGUGGCUCAAGGGCCUUCACCAGAGCCAUCACCACCAAGGACCAGAGGACCAUCAUCACUACAGUGGCCUCCAUCUCCAUCUGCCACAAGAUUAAGAUACACCUCGG
This is a long non-coding RNA of Notothenia coriiceps (black rockcod), 347 nucleotides long. RefSeq lists it as uncharacterized. The transcript has 2 exons. NCBI's taxonomy places the organism in Eukaryota, Metazoa, Chordata, Actinopteri, Perciformes, Nototheniidae. The record is from RefSeq and is a predicted model, not a curated record.